GUGGGCGUGCUAGAGUGGCUUAAUAGGCAGGUCUGCAAAAUCUGUAUUCCUCGGUUCGAAUCCGAGCGCCCACU
RNAcentral lists this transfer RNA (74 nucleotides) under Caudoviricetes sp. RNAcentral describes it as "tRNA-Cys". It matches the Rfam family "tRNA". From Rfam's summary of the family: Transfer RNA (tRNA) molecules are approximately 80 nucleotides in length. Their secondary structure includes four short double-helical elements and three loops (D, anti-codon, and T loops). The record is from RNAcentral. Lineage: Duplodnaviria; Heunggongvirae; Uroviricota; Caudoviricetes.